This 452-nucleotide ribosomal RNA is filed under the name Pheretima vergrandis. RNAcentral describes it as "partial 16S rRNA". It matches the Rfam family "Bacterial large subunit ribosomal RNA", at positions 1836 to 2597 of the family's 2925-position model. The record is from RNAcentral. Lineage: Eukaryota; Metazoa; Annelida; Clitellata; Crassiclitellata; Megascolecidae.
UGUCUCAUGAUAUGAGAUAGUUCCUGCCCAGUGACAUGUUCAACGGCCGCGGUAUCCUAACCGUGCAAAGGUAGAAAAAUAACUUGCCUAUUAAUUGUAGGCUAGAAUGAAGGGAUUAACAAAAUAAAAGCUGUCUCAAUUAGUCACCUAAAAAUUAUUUUCUAUUCGAAGAAAAAUAGAUACUCGAAGGACAAGAAGACCCUAUAGAGCUUUAUUUUAUCUGCAGUACAGUAAUAUUCGGUUGGGGCGACCCAGGGUUAACUAAUCACCCAUAAAAAAGAUGUAUAAAUCUUGACCCUAAAGAUCACAAGACCAAGCUACCUUAGGGAUAACAGGCUAAUCCCAUUCAAGAGUCCUUAUCAACAAUGGGGAUUGGCACCUCGAUGUUGGCUUAGGGAAUCUAUAUAGCGCAAAAGUUAUAUAAAGAUGGUUUGUUCAACCAAUAAUUCCCU